GGGGUAAUGGCUGAGAGGUUAAAGCGCUACAUUGCUAAUGUGGUUUACUAUUGUAAUCACGGGUUCAAAUCCCGUUUACCCCU
Molecule: transfer RNA, 83 nt
Filed under: Paulinella micropora
Lineage: Eukaryota; Cercozoa; Imbricatea; Euglyphida; Paulinellidae
Rfam family: tRNA
About the family: Transfer RNA (tRNA) molecules are approximately 80 nucleotides in length. Their secondary structure includes four short double-helical elements and three loops (D, anti-codon, and T loops).
Source: Rfam by way of RNAcentral